GUGCGCAUGCGUGCUGAAGUACUUCCUUUCCAGUCCAGCAAGCAAGUCUAAGAGCGAAGAUUUGAAUUGGAAAUCGAACUAUUUCACUGCAAAGAAAACCAUCGACGUCCAUAAAGUUUCAGAAAUUGGAGACAGUGGAGGAACUACUCGACCUUGACGAGUUGAUAAAAACUCAACCAAGCAAGAAAGAUUUGCUGACAGCCAGGCUCUCAAAGAUUGGUGGAUAUGACUUAAAGAGCUGUUUAAGCACCAUCAUGGACAGGCUCAUGACAAAUGAAUUAAUGUCCAAUCUGAACAUGAAGGGGAGAGGGGGAAAAAAAUAGCUUUGCCGAGACGAAGCUGCUCGAUUUAGUCACAGCUAGUGUCUUGGAUACCCAGAAGGGGACCGAAACGAUGGUCCAUGAUCCCAUAAAAAAUAAACUGAAAUAUGCCCCUGGACGGAAGGGAGGAAUAGGAUGGGCAUCACAGGCUAAAUAAAUAAUUAUAUUGAU
Molecule: long non-coding RNA, 491 nt
Organism: Nerophis ophidion (straightnose pipefish)
Lineage: Eukaryota; Metazoa; Chordata; Actinopteri; Syngnathiformes; Syngnathidae
Exons: 6
Source: RefSeq, a predicted model, not a curated record